UCAAAACUAGAGUUGGAAUCUUCAAGCAGCUUUUAGUACAGAGGGAAGAUGAAACAGAACAAUUACAUCAUCACUCCACAGUUAGAGACAGCCCUCUUCAAUUCACUCCCCACAGUAGAAUAGCAACAACCUGCAGAGGUGAUUUCAAUUGAUACAUAAAGGGCCGACUAAUAGGUAAGAUAACAUGUCACAAAUACAUGCUGUUGAAACUAAUAUAUUUCAUACAUAUGCAGAAAGCAAAGCAAAGUCUCACCGAAGUCUAAUCUUGUUAGUCUAAUGUACAUAAUAUACACCAAACAAACUAUAUCUACAAUCUUUACCCACCUUGUAAGACAAGCCUAUUGCACAACGAUAAAAAAAACUUGUUUCUUACCUAAGAACAGCAUGCUGAAGAUUGUGAUCUUUCAGCAGGUCUAUCUGCAAGAACCAUUCCUGCUGGCUGCUGAAUUGGCUGAGCACGAGG
RNAcentral lists this long non-coding RNA (463 nucleotides) under Musa acuminata (dwarf banana). Its description in RNAcentral is "long non-coding RNA (MACU_LNC002235)". Lineage: Eukaryota; Viridiplantae; Streptophyta; Magnoliopsida; Zingiberales; Musaceae. The record is from RNAcentral.